RNAcentral lists this long non-coding RNA (858 nucleotides) under Danio rerio (zebrafish). Its description in RNAcentral is "si:ch73-160h15.2 (ENSDARG00000095507.2)". The record is from RNAcentral. Lineage: Eukaryota; Metazoa; Chordata; Actinopteri; Cypriniformes; Danionidae.
CAGCCACUUGAUGAUCUUUAACCUAGUGACAACGGCAGCCACACCAGACCCAUCCUGAGGUGUGACAGCCAUCAUCCCACCCGUGGAGUUAAAAGUGGAUUCAGCAGCAUCAGACCUGUUUUACCUGUACAGUCAGCCGAACACAAACUCAUGAUACUGGCUAAUGACGAUAAGUCGAAGACAGUCUCGAAGUUCCCUCAAGUCUCUGUCCGAGCGAGAACCACCUUCCGCAACAGCCAUUCUCAAGCAUAUGUUCUUCAGAUCAACACUGUCCUGAAAGAGAGAAAGGGGGAAAUAGGAAUCUCCUCAACAGAGAAGCGCCUGUAAACAGAACAGUGACGCUUCAUAAGUGCAGCACAAUACACUCCAAUAGAGGGCGCCAUAACUGCAUGCAGAACAGCAGGGGGAAAGCUUAACCAGAUUCAGAGCAGCAGAUAUUAUUCAAGACAGGAUAAGAGGGGCCGAAGCUCAGCAGAGUAUGAAUUGAGGGCAAUUGGUAUGAAAAUCAUGAUGAUGAAAAGCAGCACAGCGUGUCUGCACACAUUCACAAUGCUCCAUCUGCAGUCAACUCAAGUCUGCGGGUGCAUCUCAGUCACCUCAUUAGAGGAAACAACAAUCUUGAAACAAGUCAUUUGCAAGUGACGCCCUGCAAAAGUAAUUACUGAAGAAUAGCCUCACUGAACAGAAACAAAACACUUGACAUGAAUCUAAUAGCUUGUUAAAGAGAAAAAAUUAAUAAAAUUAGUUUGAUAAAUAAAUGCAUUUUUUGAGCAAGUAUGAAUUAAACUAAAUAUUUUAAAGACUUUAGUGUUACAAAAGAUUUUGGUUUGGAAUAAAUGUUGUUUUAAGUAUGUUUUU